GGAAGUGUCUCUUGAGGUGAGUCUGAACAACGGCAUCUCCUUCAUUGGCAACAGACUCGUCAUCACCGGAACCAACUGUGGGAGUACCAAGCCUAAGGAGCCACCACCACCGCCACCUCCACCACAGCCAGAGAAGGAUCCAGAGGAGAAC
Molecule: long non-coding RNA, 151 nt
Organism: Phodopus roborovskii (desert hamster)
Lineage: Eukaryota; Metazoa; Chordata; Mammalia; Rodentia; Cricetidae
Exons: 3
Source: RefSeq, a predicted model, not a curated record